GAGGGGGGGAGAACUAAUCCCUGUCAGAGAGAGACUCUGGACCCUGACAACCACACCAUCCCAGAAAACAGUGAAGUUCCUGCAACUGAGGCUGGCCCGACCAAGUGUGAGAGGUGUCUCCAACUUUUGCAGAGGGAGAAUGGCAGUCUGCUGGACAGACUGAGGGCUAGCAAGCGCCUCAACAAGACCCUGCGCAGCCAGCUGGACCUGUGCAGAUCCAUUAUGGCUCAGAGAGAGGGGGGUGAUGGACGAUGUUUCUCCCCCUCCAACUCAAUCACAGUGGAAGAAGAAAUGAAGGAGCAGCUGCAGGAGAUCUUGAGGCUGAGACAGAGUCUGAAGGAGAGCAUUCAGGCAAACGGGAAGCUCCAGGAGCAUCUGAAGAACCAUAAGGCCCAGCAGGCAGGGACAGAGAUGGGCCAGAACCACCCAGGCGUGCAUGCUGAGUCAGAGAGACUGAAGGCGUCUCUGGUUGAGA
Molecule: long non-coding RNA, 475 nt
Organism: Oncorhynchus tshawytscha (Chinook salmon)
Lineage: Eukaryota; Metazoa; Chordata; Actinopteri; Salmoniformes; Salmonidae
Source: Ensembl